GAGUUUGAUCAUGGCUCAGAUUGAACGCUGGCGGCAUGCUUUACACAUGCAAGUCGAACGGUAACAGGGAGCUUGCUCCGCUGACGAGUGGCGAACGGGUGAGUAAUGCGUCGGAACGUGCCGAGUAGUGGGGGAUAACACAUUGAAAGGUGUGCUAAUACCGCAUACGUACUGAGGUGGAAAGUGGGGGACCUUCGGGCCUCACGCUACUCGAGCGGCCGACGUCUGAUUAGCUAGUAGGUGAGGUAAAGGCUCACCUAGGCGACGAUCAGUAGCGGGUCUGAGAGGAUGAUCCGC
Molecule: ribosomal RNA, 297 nt
Filed under: uncultured bacterium
Lineage: Bacteria
Description: partial 16S ribosomal RNA
Rfam family: Bacterial small subunit ribosomal RNA
Source: RNAcentral